This 322-nucleotide ribosomal RNA is filed under the name uncultured Russula. Its description in RNAcentral is "eukaryotic LSU rRNA". Lineage: Eukaryota; Fungi; Basidiomycota; Agaricomycetes; Russulales; Russulaceae. The record is from RNAcentral.
AACGCACCUUGCGCCCUUUGGUAUUCCGAGGGGCACACCCGUUUGAGUGUCGUGACUAUCCUCAAACCUUCUUGGUUUCUUGACUGGGAAGGCUUUGGACUUUGGGGGCUUUUGCUGGCAUUCCUUUGUUGGAGCCAGCUCCUCUGAAAUGAAUUAGCGGGGUCUGCUUUGCUGAUCCUUGACGUGAUAAGAUGUUUUCUACGUCUCGGGUUUUUGCACUCCUGCUUCUAACUGUCUUCACAGAAGACAAACGGUCAAGUGAUUGCCACUUGACCCCAUGAACCUUGACCUCAAAUCGGGUGAGACUACCCGCUGAACUUAA